GUGAUGACAGCGCCCAGGGCUCUGAUGUGUCUCUCACGGCUCCUCAAGUGUGAGACCAGCUGCCUGGUGGGGACUGAGUGAUGCAAGAUGUGUUCACACUCCCACUUGGUGACAUCAACAACCCCUGACUUCUCUUUCUGCAAAAGGUGCCAGAUGUGUCUGUGUUCCUAUGAGUACAACGUGAGGACAUGAGGAGAUUUGCCCACCCUGCCCACCACGACCCCUCCCUAUGCUGAUCUGCAUUCUCUUCCCUGAUGUGCUUUCCUGUUCCAGCAGAGGCAGGCCUGGACCAUCUCCAUCCCUGUCUUUAUUUCACGUUGGGCUGAGUACUAAUGACUUAUUUCCCUAUUGGAAAUUAGAAUCCAGAUAUAAGUUUUGUUUCCUAAUUCUUGGCUUGUGGGGCUGAUGAGGUAAUAAAAGAGGAAAUUUGUAAAGUUGA
This is a long non-coding RNA of Neomonachus schauinslandi (Hawaiian monk seal), 439 nucleotides long. RefSeq lists it as uncharacterized. Lineage: Eukaryota; Metazoa; Chordata; Mammalia; Carnivora; Phocidae. The record is from RefSeq and is a predicted model, not a curated record. The transcript has 2 exons.